RNA transcript from Acipenser ruthenus (sterlet), 5003 nucleotides. It is a transcript of the gene named histamine H2 receptor, with no coding region annotated. The transcript is spliced from 4 exons. The record is from RefSeq and is a predicted model, not a curated record. Lineage: Eukaryota; Metazoa; Chordata; Actinopteri; Acipenseriformes; Acipenseridae.
AACACACAUACACAAACUGCUCCAGUCUUGGGAAAACAGCAAAUGGGGGGUGGGGGGGACAUCACAGAGAAGCAAUACUGAGUAUCAUUGGACUAGCAGGACUGGCUCAAUGUACUUUACAAGGUGUUUGGAGGUUGUUUCACACAUUUUGGGAGCAAGACAGAAGGAACAUGUUGAGGCACUGAGCCAUCUAUCCCUCCACCCGCACCCAGGCAGACUGUGAGGGAGCCUGUUGCCUUGGAUACCAGUUAGUGGAGAAACAGGCUGCUCUUUCCAGAGCAGAGAUAACAAAACAGAAUGUCGUUGUUGAUUCUUCCACCAUUACAUGGAACACCGUUAAAUUAAAAAAAAAAAAAAUGCCUUACAUGAUAGUUUUUCAUCCAGUAAUUUCUAGGGAAAUUCUAGUUGGAAGCAACCAAUAGAAGCAAAUAAAUAGAAGGGAAUUUGUAAUGACCUCUUGGACAGUAUUCAGUACUACAGUCAAUUCUCACAGUAAUAACCCUAUUCAAGAGUAACCCUCCCUCCUUUGACAAGGCAUUACAUCAGGAUAAAGAGUGCACCUCUACAUAAACACCCCCAAACUGAAGACAAAAUGCCUAAUUUGUGGAGAACUGGGAUGUCCAAUCUAAGAGUGGUCUGAGGUGAACAAUAGCAGUUGGAAGGAAUGGAAAAAUGCUUGAACAGCACCAUGGCCGCUACAGACCUGUGCCUUAAACGAAGCAUGUUAUCUACAGUAAUGCUUGGCUUCAUUCUUGGAGCAGUGAUCGUGCUCACAAUCUGCGGCAAUGUGGUGGUGUGCCUAGCCGUGGGCAUGAACCGCAAGCUGCGUAGCCUAACCAACUGCUUUAUCGUGUCUCUGGCUACCACUGACCUGCUCCUGGGACUGCUAGUGCUGCCCUUCUCUGCUGUCAUUGAACUGCACAGGAGCUGGCCAUUUGGGGCCACUUUCUGUAACAUUUACACCAGCCUGGACGUCAUGUUGUGCACUGCCUCCAUCCUUAAUCUCUUCAUGAUCAGCUUGGACAGAUACUAUGCCGUCACUGCCCCCCUGCGCUACUCCAUGCUGGUGACCCCGUGUCGUGUGGCUGUGGCCAUGGGGUUCAUAUGGGUGGUGUCACUCAUGGUGUCCUUCUUGCCUAUCCACAUGGGGUGGAACACACUGGACCUCACAGUUCAGAACAAGGGCAAAGAAGACAAGGAGGACAAAUGCAGGCUCGAGCUGAACAAGGGCUACGUGCUCGUGGACGGCGUUGGCACAUUCUACCUCCCACUGGUUGUCAUGUGCAGCACCUACUAUCGCAUAUUCAAGAUCGCGCGGGAACAGGCCAAGCGAAUCAACUGCUGCACCGCUUCCUCCUCGCUCAAUAACCACUGUUCCCUGCCCGCGAAAGAGCACAAGGCCACGGUGACCCUAGCCACCGUCAUGGGGGCCUUCAUCAUCUGCUGGUUCCCCUACUUCACCGUAUUCACCUAUCAGGGUCUGAGUCAGGAGGAAGUGGAUGAAAUGACCUUCGCCAUCGUACUGUGGCUUGGCUACGCCAACUCUGCCCUCAACCCCAUCCUGUACGCAGCUCUGAACCGGGACUUCCGCACUGCUUACAGCAGCCUGCUCCGCUGCCACAAAGUGGGCCCAGCCACAGCCCCUCCUCACUCUCACCAGGGCCGAGCAGAGCUCCCCAGGGGUAGUCACCAACAACACAGCCCCAACUGUAAGGGGAGCCUACCGGAGGAGAGGGCACUCAGCUUGCAGGACAGGAAUGGAAAGGAGAACCCCUUCAUCCAUGAGACCGCAGAAAGGGAUCUGCCAGUUUCCUGUGGGAAGUCAAUGGGGAUCCUGUCCUUCUGCCAGGGCGUGUGGCUGGCCAAGGUAGUGCCAGCGCGGAACAGGUGGAUCUUUGAGGAGAAUGGAGCUGAGCCCACAGUCUCAGAAGAUGGUUGAGCCUUAAUACAGAACCUCAGAAAAGAAAUAAAAUUUGAAUAAAAAAACAGAAUUCAUCUUUUAAGAGGGAAUCUUGGAAUUACAGAAUGCCAGAACAUGAUACAUUUUAAAACAGGACUCCAGAACAUGGUGGAUGCUGAAUUGAACUAUUCCAAUUUGAGCUAAUUUCUUGCUAUCAAAUGAAUCUUGUCAUGGUAACUAACUAACUAACUAACUAACUAACUAACUAAAUAAAUACAUAAAUAAAUAAAUCAUCUGAAGAUCAGCUGCUGUUUAAGUGCAGUAAACCAGUAUGAAGGCUCAUAUGAUAGCCCUGCAUUAAAAUUCAGGAGCUGAGAAUGGAGGUGCCACAGCAGCACUGGAGCGUGGCGAUGCAAGUGACAUCUCUGAGCGACUGAGGGCAACAUCUUUGCACUGUUAAUAAAUGGUUAUUCUAAAUUGUGUGGCUUGUGAGACAGCAAGGGCACAUGGAGUUACAAGUGGCCGUACAUCUUAAGAGAGCCUUUCAGAGAUGUUUUUGAUAAGCAGGGACUCCAGAAACCUUUACUUUCCACCUAGGAUGAGCACUUAUUCUUUGUUAACCGUUAAUUGCCAUUUGUAGUGCUUUAGUGCCAAGGGAAGAAAAACCCAAAUUAUUGGUGCUGUUUUUAAUUUGGAGAAUGGAGAAUGAAGAUGUUAUUAAUGACAAUGAAGGCUUAACAGCAAGGUUACGAUCCUUGACACUCAAAAUUGUCUUCCGACGAAAUUUACAGUCAAAUCUAGAACGUUUACAGUCAAAUCUAGAACAUAUUCUGUGAAAAUAAAAUUGUUGGUAUUCCAAAGCAAAAAUAUUCUUGAAAAAUCGAUGCCCAGCUUUUGGGAAUAAUAAAAAAAAACUUCUUAGCAGAUUUUGAUCUGAUUCAAUGGGAAGAUUGAACCAUUACACUGUGUCAGCUAUAUCUUCCGCAGAACCACUGCAGUUUAAGUAGAAAUGUCUAUUAAAAUAUACAACAUGGGGAAAUGAAUGUUAUUGAACUGGGGAAAUCUAACAUGUCUAGCAUUAAAUAGGAUUCAAAUAGUCAUAAAAGUAUGAAACCAUUUAGGUAAACGGAUUGUUGAAAUGGUUAACAAACUGAAUAGUUAAACAGAUUUCUAGUUUUUCAGUAAGCAUUCGUCCAUUUCGAAAAGCUAAAGACCCUGUGCAUGAUGAUUAGGCAGUGAAAUAAAGAUUUUGAAAUUGUUAAAAACAAUUCUGAUAGACAGUGUCUUCUCUCAGAAAUGUUCUAUGUCAUAUGGGCUACUACAUUUUUACAAAUCCCGCCAACAAUUGUUAUACUCUGCAUGCUGAAUGAAGUCACAUUCUGCCUGCUAUCAUUUCUUGACCAUUUUCUCUUCAGACUCGACAGCGUUGCAUCUCACUUUUAAUCUAUGUACUUUAUGCUUUGAAAAGUGUUCUCUCCUUAAAUUUAGAUUGGCAGCAACUUUGAAAUGGAUCUCAAAAACCCAUUCCAUACAAUUGAAAAACAAAACAAAAAAAAAACUGGAUCCAGAAUAUAUCUCCAUUCCUAAGUGGCUCUACCAGUUUUCAAGUGACUUUAUUUUCUUAGGGUCACUAAUGUAACACAUCUGGGUGCAAACUGGGGACCACAUACUAUACACUGCAAGCAUGCAUCUUAACCAUGUAACCACAUUGGCAGAGGCCAGAAUCUGUAAUGGUGUUGCCCACAAGACUGCCCAUAACACCAAUACAAUUUCAAGUAAUUUCUGUGGGGGACUGAUAUAGAUAAAUAGAUAGAUAGAUAGAUAGAUAGAUAGAUAGAUAGAUAGAUAGAUAGGUAGAUAGUUUCAAUGUUUUUUAGGGACAGGAUCUGUGGUUGGAAGGACUAGUUCCUUGGGUCAGAUAAUGACUACUGUAAGUGCCUGAGCUCACCUCCAGUCACCCUACCAAUAGUCUGCAUGGCUUUCUUCAUUUUGCAGGUAUUAAAAGUUGUGCUACAUGUUAAGACUUGAGGGGACAGUAAAGUAAAUAGCUUCUUUCCAGCCGAGUCCCUCGCAACAUCAAUACGGCACUGUAAACCUUACUCCACAAGGCAGCAUCUAUUAGCUUAUACCCCUGGGGCCUCUGGAACAAAAUUGAGCAUAUUACUGCAUGAAGGCAAGAGGCUAACUCAGAAGAGGCGAUUUCUUCAGCGCAGAAACCCAGGGCAUAAUAAUGAAAAGUAAACAGCUACCAGCUAAAAGAACAAAAAUAAGAAGGCUACAGCUGCCUUUUGUAAAUAUGGGUUGUCUAUCAGGCUGUUCAGUGGUUUUAAUGGUGUCUACCUUACAUUAAGAUCCAUUAGCCCCAAGAGGGAUAACAUAUCCAAAGUGUUCCAUGGGUCCCUGGUAGAUUUAAUAGACCUACAUGCCUGCUAUUAUUCACUUGGCAAAGCGGCUUUGUCACCAAGCUGGUAUACAAACAAUAGGUAAUCCUUGGAGUAUCUGGUCCAUUUGGGUAAAUUCUCCUGCUCUGUUUUAAUAAGAAUCACACUUCUGGAGAUGCAACGCUAUUACGGCUGUCACUUAUGUUAUUUGACUCUGUGUAGCCGAGGUUCAUUUAUGAAUGAUAAUACAAAAAAGGUUAAAAAGAAACACAUGAUACAUGGAAGAUCAAUGAGAAAGUAAAUUAAUAAAUAAAAAUACAACUGAACCCCUACGCCCUCAGCCACAUUAUGUUUCCAUAGCAAUGAACGGCACACUUCAACUUUAAUUGAUCAACCAUCAUUUGGGACCACACCAGGUACGCUUGGAAAAUUUCCCACCCAGGGUUAAGCUGUGAAGUAUUCUUCAUAUCACGUACUGUCUCCUCAAAUUGAAGCUGACAAGAAGAAAUGAGGGAGAAUUACUCAUAAAACCAGGCAAUAUAUUCAAUACCUGGGGAAGAAAUAAGAUUUUCUGCAUUUUUACAUACCAGACUACAACAAGCUAGCAUGGUCAAACUGUGUUAUCUGAAAGUCAGUCAGGAAACCCUAUAUUAAAAAAGAAAACCCAAACAAACGAUGUGCAGUACUAUUUGUGUGGUUUCUUUGGCUUCUGGGUGCACACU